UUUUUUUCUUUUGCUAUAAAGGACGUUAGUGGGACAAAUGGAGAUUUGAAGAAAUCUGUAGACAAGUUCAUGGUAUCGUAUCGAUGUUAAUUUCCUGAGUUGACCGUUGGACUGCAGUUACGUAAAAGAAUGUCCUGAUUUUUCAGACCACGCUGAGGACUUUAGGAGUGGAAGGUCAUCGAGUCUGCAAUUUACUCUCAAACGGUUGAGAAAAACGAGGAAAGAGGGAGAGAGAAUGACAAAGCAAAUGCAGUAAAGUGUUAACAUUCAGUGAAUCUGGGUAAAGGCUUUACUGGAAUUCUUUGUAUUCUUUUUGCACCUUUUCUCUAAGUCUGAAAUUACUUCAAAGUAAAAUGCUAUUUUUUAAACGCAGGUUUUUCUGGUUCAGUUUCAGCCAGGGCUGCUAACAGCACCCACAUUCUAAACAAGGUGCUAGACCAUUUAGAGCAGUUAUUUCAACCCAGGUGGUUAAAAACCAGUUUUAGAAACCUUAGGCGCCUCCACUUCCUGUCUAUAGCGCAGAGAGGAGAGAUGGGGGAGGGGAGGGGAGGGGAGGAGGGGAGGGAGGCAGACCAAGGCUUUCUCAAGAGGCGGAUCCAGGGGGCUGCCACAGCUACUUCUCCUUCCCCACCUGGGGAGGCGCAUGGGGUGCCUCCCCUCUCUGUAGGCUGAGGGAGAGGGCCUUCCAGGAGGCUAUUUGCAGAGUCUGACCUGUGUGUCCUGUGUUCUGGGGGGUUCAGAGGCUGGCUGGGACCCAUGCCUGGAAAAGCCCGCAUGCCAAAUGCUGGCCUGACCAGCUGCUUGCUUCUGGAAUCAGGAGAUGGGGCUGUGCAGGGUGAGCCUUGUCAGGGCAGAGCAUGCCUGUGGCUUCCCGGGGACCAGCUGAGGACCUGGGUGAAGGGACAUAGCUUGGAGCUGUCCAGAAGGGACUCUGUGCAUGAGGGGUGUGGGUGGGACUCAAUCAAGCUGGUCCUUGAGUAGGGGUACCCCGGGCAAGCCAGUGCGAGCAGGCCCUGCCCAGGAAGGAAACUGCAGUGUGAGCCACUCCUAGCAAUGGGGGUACCAAAGAACCCCCAAAACAAUCCGCCAGAAAAAAACAAGCCAGCUUGAAUCAUUGCUCCAGCCAGAGCAAAGCCACACCAGAGGACGUGGGUGCCAGGCAAAGGAAAUCUUUCUUUUCGUCUCCCACCCCAUGCCACGCUGGCCACGGAAGAGCCCAGGGGGUGGGGGUAGGGAGGCAGGAGGAGAAUCUGGGGGCUGGAAAGCGCACAGAACCCCCUAGGAUUCGUCCUCUGUAAAAUGGCCAUUACAGUUGCAUCUCCCUGUUGGGCUGGGAUAAAGGAGAGAAUCCAUGAAAGUGCCCGGUGCACGCAGAGCUGGGCCCAGGGAAGCGCUCAUAAAGGCCCCUCCGGCCCCAGGGGCGGGGUCCAAGGGGCCCAGGGGGAUGGGCAGUAGAUUUUUGGUUCUGUGCAAUUCCUGAUUCGAGCUUGAUCACUAGAUUCCUGUCUCAAGCUGUGAAAUGACAGCCACAGGAGCCAGAGUCGGGUCCCUGGAGGAAGCUGGUGAGAGGUGGCCGACUGUCAGGGCCUCUGUCCCCGGGAGCGGAGCUGAGAAGGGACCGACGGGAGCAGACGGACUGCGGGGCGGGCCGGUGCGCCCCUGCUGGUGAAGCCGAAUGGCCGGCCACCCCCGCGCCGGGUCGGGACGGGCCGGGAGCCCGCUGAGCCCCGGCCGCGGCUGAAGAGCAGCCCCAGGCUGGGCUGGCCCGGCGGGACCCGGGCCGGGGCUGCGUGCGCUUUUGCGCAAAUUGGAGACGGGCACCCCGCGCGCCUGCCCUUACGCGAUGCGAACGGCGCCCCCUGGAGUCUGAAGACAGCAGGAGCCCCCUCUGAGCUCUUCAAGGCCAAGGGCACAAUCUCCAGUUCUGAAACUGGGAAGUCCAGCAAUUGGGGGAAGCUUGUUGAGAAUUAGAGGAAUUUCUAGGUAAAAGCAUCAGAGCACUGUUGUCUUAUAAAUAUUGCAGUCUGUGGACCUCUCUGAGCCCCAUCUGUACAAUGGGCAUAGCAAUACUGAAGGAUGCCUCCAGCCUGGGCUCGGCACAUAGCAGUUGCUCAGUUAUAAUAGCUAACGUUUACUGCACAUUGUAACACUAAGACGGAUGGCUAACACGAGGAUGUAAGUGCGGUGUGAAGUGAGGGUUGAAGAGGUUAUGUAACUAACCAGCCAGAUGUCUCACAGCCGGGAGCCACACAGCAGAGACUCUGGUGGGUCAGGACACAGCCUCUUUGACUGGAUGUGCCGGAAUGACCUGAAAAGGUGCCGACUCAGAACCAACAGCACCCCCCUCCAAGGUAAGAGGCAGAACUGCCAGCUCAGGCAGUGAUAGGAUCGGAUUUAAUGUAAAGAGCAACCACCAAAAAAAAGAGUCAAGACUCAUCAGAAUGUCAGAACGUUCUGAACUUGGGGGAGAGGAGGACUGGAUCCAAACGCCCAGCAGGGAUGAGUGACAUCUUAGUCAUGGAACUGUCAGCGGAUGUGAAACGAGCCACUCAGAUGUGGGGGAUGCUGCUAAGAAGACAGGAAGGUUCAAACCAGGACACGGGGAGGGGCUCCAGCGAGAACACGGCAGCUGCUCUGCUCUGGAGGCUGCACCAUUUGGGGUGGCCUUCCUCUCUGCCUUUCCCUCCAACCCCAGCAGGGACGAGUUGGUGAGGUUGAUUCAUCCCACGGGAUGAAUCGUAAGGAGCAGCCUUUGGCUCAGGCACUGAUCUUGGGUCCAGCCAACCAUAGACAGGGUGGCCAGCUUCCGGAAAGCCAAUAUCCCCUGAGGCCUUGCUCACGCUGUGUGCUGAGUGCUGUUCAUGGAGCUUCACAGGUUAGCUCAUUGAAUCCUCGUAACAACCGCCUGAGCUAGGUACCAUUAUUAUUCCCAAUUUAGAAAUGGGGAAACUGAAGUCAGAGAGGUUAAGUGACUUUCCUAAGGUCACCCAUCUAGCAAGCCACAAAGCUCAGGCUGGCAUCCUUGUCUGGGAGCCUGUGCCCCUUAACCACCUCUGUCCUGUCCCACUUUCAAGUCGAAUUCAGAGCCCUAUUGUCACUUGAAAGCUGCUCUUCCCAGAAGGGGACAGCAGGGGGCAGUGUAACCAGCAGGCAUUUGAAGCUUGGCCCUCCC
Molecule: long non-coding RNA, 3172 nt
Filed under: Equus caballus (horse)
Lineage: Eukaryota; Metazoa; Chordata; Mammalia; Perissodactyla; Equidae
Description: lncRNA (ENSECAG00000056570.1)
Source: RNAcentral